CUGAAGACACCUAUGAUUGACAACCCAGACUUCAAAGAUGAUCCGGAUCUCUAUGUUUUCCCAAAAUUGAAGUACGUUGGAAUUGAGCUGUGGCAGGUAAAAUCUGGAACGAUGUUUGACAAUGUCUUGAG
Cornus florida is the source of this 131-nucleotide long non-coding RNA. RefSeq lists it as uncharacterized. The transcript is spliced from 3 exons. NCBI's taxonomy places the organism in Eukaryota, Viridiplantae, Streptophyta, Magnoliopsida, Cornales, Cornaceae. The record is from RefSeq and is a predicted model, not a curated record.